AGAGUUUGAUCAUGGCUCAGAGUGAACGCUGGCGGCGUGCUUAACACAUGCAAGUCGAACGGUAACAGAUACUUCGGUAUGCUGACGAGUGGCGAACGGGUGAGUAAUGUAUAGUUAAUUUGCCUCUUGGAGAGGGAUAGCCAUUGGAAACGAUGAUUAAUACCUCAUACUCCUUAUAUAGUAAAUAUAUAAGGGAAAUGUUUUUUCGCCAAGAGAUAAGACUAUAUGGUAUCAGGUAGUUGGUGGGGUAAGAGCCUACCAAGCCAAUGACGCCUAGCUGGUCUGAGAGGAUGAUCAGCCACACUGGAACUGAGACACGGUCCAGACUCCUACGGGAGGCAGCAGUGGGGAAUAUUGCACAAUGGAGGAAACUCUGAUGCAGCAACGCCGCGUGGAGGAAGAAGCAUUUCGGUGUGUAAACUCCUUUUAUAUAGGAAGAUAAUGAUGGUACUAUAUGAAUAAGCACCGGCUAACUCCGUGCCAGCAGCCGUGGUAAUACGGAGGGUGCAAGCGUUACUCGGAAUCACUGGGCGUAAAGCGCAUGCAGGCGGUUUAUAAAGUCAGAAGUGAAAUCCUACAGCUCAACUGUAGAACUGCUUCUGAAACUCAUGAA
This 613-nucleotide ribosomal RNA is filed under the name bacterium enrichment culture clone BIG B-Brut-25. RNAcentral describes it as "bacterial SSU rRNA". It matches the Rfam family "Bacterial small subunit ribosomal RNA", at positions 8 to 640 of the family's 1533-position model. The record is from RNAcentral.